Cryptomeria japonica (Japanese cedar) is the source of this 5079-nucleotide long non-coding RNA. RefSeq lists it as uncharacterized. NCBI's taxonomy places the organism in Eukaryota, Viridiplantae, Streptophyta, Pinopsida, Cupressales, Cupressaceae. The record is from RefSeq and is a predicted model, not a curated record. The transcript is spliced from 3 exons.
AAAAAAACCUCUGAAACUACACUACAUGGAGGAAAUGGUGACGAUUAAAAAAAAGCAUGACCGUUUAAAAAUGGACGACUGUUAAGAAAAACCAUGACCAUUUUUUAAAAAACAUGUUUUUUGAACUCUUAUAAAUGGUGACUUACAGCCGGGCGCUCCUCAUCACUUCCCGGCAUUGUUUUGUUUGUUUUCUUGUUUGAGUCUGUGUUAUUUUUUUUUCAAUGUUUUUAUUGAAUUUUUCAUGUUUUUUCAGAGCAUGCAUGCUAGUCUGGUCUCUCUGUCCAUGAUUUGUUGUUUUUUGGUUGGUUUUUCUAUUUUGCACAGGAAGAGGCAGGAUAGAUGAAGAGGGAAAGCAAGAGGCAGAGACAGAGCAAUGGCAAUUUAUGCAGAAUAUUUGGCAGGAAGCGUGGCAAUUCCUAAAUUGUCUUUGUCUUUUGAGUUUUUUUACAUCCUUUGGGCUGUGGGUUAUGGUUACCGUCUUGUUUCAAUCAGUAAUGGGCCUGAUGGGAGCUUGAUUGGAAGCUUGGAACUCAUACGAAAUACUGAUACAUAUGGUCCUGCUAUUCCUAGAAUUCGACUUUAUAUUAAGUAUGGUUUGUGUAUUGUUGCUUAUUCAUCGGUUCUUUUGUUUUUCACUUCAAAUGUGUUUUGGGUUUCAUCCUAUGAAAAUGAUCGCUUCAUCUGAUUUUUGAUUGUUUGAUGUUUGGGUGUUCUGAUAUUUGAAUUUUCAUGUGUCUGGUCAGCUGAACUUUUGUGGAGGAUUUGAUUAAUUGUUUCAAAAGCUACUAGACACUGUAAGUCAGGGAUGUUCUGUUAUGCAUUGGGUUUAUUGAAGGCUUUUUAUCCCUAUUUGAAAAUUUGUAGAAAUGUAUUUUGGUUUGUUGUGCAUAGGAAUCCGGAUUACUAGUAUAGUUGGCUAUAUACCAUUUUGGUUCGAGGAUUUUAAUGAUUUGGGUAUGGUGGCUUAUGCCCCGAUCUAUUUUUACAGUGAGUCUGAUUUGGGUGGUUUUGAUGUAUUGGGUCUGUUGGAUUGAUCUACUCUCAAAUGUAUUGAGUAUGUAUGGCGGUAUCUUUAUUUUAGUUAUGCUAGUUAAGACCACCAUGCUGAGAUGGUUCCAGGCCGAGUUAUAGAUGUGAUUGGGAUGCUCUUCAUGAUCAGUAGCAAAUUUUCGUUAUUGCCAUUUGAUCAAUAUGUUGAGGAUUCCCCUCUUUGCGCACACUUAAACUGUAUCUGGCCUUGAGUCUUAAUCUGCUUCUUAUCUGAAUCUUUUUUUCUAAAUCCUGUAGGGUCGAGCAAAGGACCAAUGAAGUGAGAUUCCAAUGCAGGCAUGAGACACAUUACGUCUCCUGCCUAAUCACAUUAUGUGUUUGUGUGUAUGCUUCCUAACUUGAUAAUUGUUUGACAUUUUUUAUUUCCUGUGAUUGAGAAUUAUUUUGGACAUUUUUCCUUUCCUGUGAUUGAAAAUUAUUUUAGACAUUUUUUCUUUCAAUGGUAGAUUAUAUAUACAGGCAGCAAUAUAGAGAUAGAAUUAUUGUAAACGGCACCUUAACUGCGGAAAUCUUGCGUAAUUGUAUUUAACCUAUUCAAUCUCAUAGAUACUAGUGGGUUUCAUGAUGUAUACCAUAUCUGUGUUGGUCAUAUCCUCUUAGCUUUAAUUUCUUUUUGUUACUGCCUAUGUAUUUUUCUGUUCCUUGGCAUUGUCCGUGUAUAUGGGGAGCCGUAACCUGUAGACAUUUAUAUACCAUCUCUUAGUUUUAACUUCUAUUCGUUACGGCCUGUGUGUAUUCUUCUGAUCCUUGGCACUGUCUGUGUACAUGCCAUCUAAGAGGCGGUUCUGGUCAAGAUCUAAUCAAUUUUUGAGGCAGCAUCUACAUUUUCCAAGGAAAUGGAGGUAUUGGCUGCUCUUGCAAGUGGGACUAAUUCAUUCCGUGUUGCCUUGGUUGAGGGUUUAGUGGUGUUUUCUGUAACAUCCCGUCAGUUGCUUGGAGGGUGGAUUUUAUAAAGAAAUAGUAAACAUUGAGAGAAAGAAGCAUAGUAAAUUGCCAACUUAAUGAGGCAUGAGCUACCAUAUGGGCUGGCUAUGGGCAUUAAAUUGGAGAGGACAGGAGGAAUGGCACAAGUCAGAGACUAAGGCAGACUUGCCAUAAUGGAGGAUGGCAUCUCAAUCCAAUGAGGACGGUAGAUAGCUGGAUGCGUGGGAAAAGGUCCAGGGGCAGUAGAAACUCAGAGAAACGCAAUUGGUGUUGAAAAUCCAAAUUCCAAACAUUGUUUCCCACAUUUUCACUGCCUCUGACUUAGUGAGACAUCGACUAGGUGAAGGACACUCUACCAGACUUGUUUCCCACAUUAUCACUGCCUGUGCCUCAAUGUGAGACAUCGAAUAGGUGAAGGACUCUCUACCAGACUUAAAAAGGAGAGAAAAGAAUUGAGAAGGCAGAAUGGUGUGAAGAGAGAAAGAAGAGCAGGCAGUGGGAAGACGGGAAAACCGGGUGGGAAAAGAAGACAAUAACGUGAGGAGUACAAACAAGGAUUAUGACAUGAUUGGAGGCGACCAGGAUUUAGUGGAGUUGCAGAGGCAGGUAGAGAAGAAAUAGAGAAAUGCAUGGGUAGAAGGGGUUGACCGAAUUUUGUUAAGGGUUAUAAAUCAGCAUAAGGAAUAGAUGAGUUUUGUUAGAUGGUAUGGUUGCAACUACUGUGCAGAGAAAUAUAAACUCUUGGGCCACCAUUAUUGAAAAUGCAUACAAUGGAUCUGUUGGGCUACAAAAACUUUCAAGAAAAUGCAAUCGGAUAAUGGCACGUGCUUUGGUCUCUAUUCUCUUUCAUUGCUUUGGAAUCGCCUUCAAAUUCUCACUCAUCAUCAGGGAAACUAGUUUUUAUGCCGACAUGCAUUUUCAGUAGCAGAGCGUUUGAAGGCAAUUGCUUUGAAAUCGUCUUCAUAUUCUCCCUUCCCUUUUAUUUGUUCUUGGUACUUGUCAAUAUCAGGAGAAUCUUUCAUCUCAAAAAGCACUGGGAAAAAGUAGUAUUGUGUCGCCUGUCAUAUUUUGGCGGGUUUAUAACUAGAUAUUUGGUUCAAUGGUAUAGUGGAUUUUAAAAUUCUUCUGUUCUAUUCAUUUUCUUGAUUUAUAAAUAGUUUAUAAAGGUAAGAUUUGAUCUAUUUUCUCUCUGAGGCUUGAAGUCUAUUGAAUUUGGAGGACUCGUAACCAUCUCAAAUGGUUUUUCUUGAACGCAUUUGGUUUUAUGAAUGCACAAUUUGCUGAAAUUCAAUUUUCCAAACUUGCGUAUAAUAAUUAUUCCGUGGCCUCUGGAAUUUGGUCUGCUGGAUAAUAAUUAUUUGGGCACCAGGGAUGUGAAGUAUCACGGUAUACUCUGCCGUUUACAGAAAGUUUAUCAUAGAAAAUUAAAGGGUUAUUCUUCUUGAAAUGGGAACCUGCAUUGCAUUCUGAAUAUAUGGGUCGACUUAAGAAUUCAACAAGUGCAUUUGUGGGUAAGGUUGUAGACUCCUGUUUUUUCUCUUGUUCUCUUUCUCUGAUCUUACAUGACAGAGGAAUGUUGGGCCAACUUUAUUAAUUCUAGCAGAAGGUUAAUUGGGCAGUUUCUUGAGUUUCUGCCUAGAUAUAUUGGUCAACACGAGGUCUACUGCAGGGGAUAUUCAGGGAUUCUGAGGGUGCUUCAAAUCAAACCAAACUGCAGAGCCCAUAAAUAUUUCAUGCACUAUACACUUCGGUAUUUGUAAGAUUGCGAAUGUGGAUACUGAUCAAGCCUGUAAAGAUGAAACCAAUCAGAGAAUUCAGGAGAAUUCAUCUACUGUUAAAGAAGAGACCUUCAAUACCACCUCACAAGGUCUUACUGUUAAGUUAGGUCUGGAUCAUAAAUCCCUAGGGAUUAAAUGGAAACGUGUUACAGUUGUAGCGGCAAUUCUGUUGGUUUUAGAGGCUGGCGGAGGUCCAAGAAAUGGAGAUGACAAAACAGUACACCAGGUAUAAACAUAGACAGAGGAGGCAGCAGAUUGAACAAAGUGUGACUCCUCCAACACGCUUGGAAGCUUUGUCCAAUAUGUGGAUGCUACAUAUUCUAGGGAGCGUCCUCCAACUGCUGUGAGGUCUGAGCAAAUUUGAAAUAGAAAUCUUUCGCCAUUACCUGCACAGCCAACUUUUCAAUCUCCAAGUUCAGUGCAUUCUUUCUCAUGAUGUCUCUGUUAGGAGAUCAUAUAACAUCUAAUUCUAAAUGCUUGUAUGCAAAUGUUACCCUGUUUCUCAUCUCCUAUUUUGAGUUUCUGUUAAAGCCACUGAAGCAGACAUUUAUUUAUUAAUCCGGUAUUUAUCAGUAAAUUUGAUGUGGGUUUUAGUAAUCCGGUAUUUAUUAUCAGUAAAAAUGUAUGCGGGUGUAGAUCAUUAGGAGGUUUUCAUUAGGAUAUUAAUUUGAAUGCUGGUGUUUCAUAGGUUUUAAUAUGUAAGAUUCAUUUAGGUUCUGGUAAUUCACAGCUUUUCAUUAGUCAACUUUAUGUAUGUCAGUAAUUCGCAGGUUUGUAUUAAUACAGUUCUUGGUAUUAAUGAACAUUGGUUUCUCUUUCAUUUGGGCUAUAUAUUCUGAUUAAGAAUGGUUUGUCUUAUUAAUGGACCAGACUUUAUAUCAAUUCAACUCUUGUCAUCAUGAACACUUCUUUAUUACCCAUUAUGAAUGUUUGUUUUGUUAAUAUAGUUUUCAUUUGAAUCCAGAAGGAAAUAAUAGCUGAGGAGAUGUAAACAAAUUGGAGAUGCAAUUUUCUGUGGACUGUAUGUAAGCACCAUGAACUGGAUUAGACAGUUGCAAAGCAGCUUUGGGAUUCCAUUCCUUGUGCUUAUUUUUCUGACAUACUGGACUCGGAUUUCUUUACAACUUACCUUACAAAUUUUGUCACUUUUGCAACAAUGCUUUCCUUUGUAUAUAAAAUUCAUCGUUGUGCAACUUUUGGAACAUAAAUUGACAUCCAUCCAGACGUAGAUGAUUCAUAAGUCAGUUUGAUAACAUAGGAAGUAUUCCUCAGUCAUAUGGAUCUUCCUCUGAUCAGCUGUAUUGAAUAAGCAUAUUUCAAGAAUUUU